UUGACCUCAAAUCGGGUGAGACUACCCGCUGAACUUAAGCAUAUCAAUAAGCGGAGGAAAAGAAACUAACAAGGAUUCCCCUAGUAACUGCGAGUGAAGCGGGAAAAGCUCAAAUUUAAAAUCUGGCGGUCUUUGGCCGUCCGAGUGUAAUUUAGAGAAGCGUCUUCCGCGCCGGACCGUGCACAGUCUCCUGGAAUGGAGCGUCAUAGAGGGUGAGAAUCCCGUCUUUGGCACGGAUGCCUGGUGCUUCUGUGAUGCG
This 259-nucleotide ribosomal RNA is filed under the name uncultured Lactarius. Its description in RNAcentral is "partial 28S ribosomal RNA". It matches the Rfam family "Eukaryotic large subunit ribosomal RNA", at positions 1 to 253 of the family's 3401-position model. The record is from RNAcentral. Lineage: Eukaryota; Fungi; Basidiomycota; Agaricomycetes; Russulales; Russulaceae.